This 2224-nucleotide ribosomal RNA is filed under the name Triticum aestivum (bread wheat). Its description in RNAcentral is "partial small subunit ribosomal RNA". The record is from RNAcentral. Lineage: Eukaryota; Viridiplantae; Streptophyta; Magnoliopsida; Poales; Poaceae.
AAUAAGAGGGGGACCGGGCGGUUGUUGUCGCAGGGCAGUAGGAGGAGUGGGCGUGGUGGGGGCGAGCGGAUAAAUUCCGCUGUACGAGAGGUCCUCCGGCGAGCGGCGGCGGGAUGCGGAGCGCGGGGAGAGCGGAGGCGAGGAGGAGAAGAAGCGGAGGAGGAGGAGGAGCAGCAGCAGUGGGCGGAGCACGAGGAGGGGGUGGCGAAGCCGGAGCCGGGGGUCUCCGACGUCACGAGAUUCCUACCUAUCGCCGCGACACCUUGGUCGAAGUUGGCCCCGUUAGACCAGUUGCGGCAGCCACCUCGGCUCUUCGUAAAGGUAGCCCUUCGUCUAUAAGACGUUGUCCAGAGAGUUGUACUCCUUGUAGUGGCGUCAUCCUAAACUAUACCUGAUGUGAGAACGCGUCAUGUUUGGACUCUGUAAGCUCCGGGAACGAAUGGUACCGUGGUAACUCUUCGAGCACUUCCUAGAGUUGAUGGGACUCCUCGACAACUGUACCGUUAAACUGACCUUCAUAUACCAGUCUCCUGAUCAAGAACUAUUCUUUUCUCCUUUAUAGAACUUCUACCUGGCCGUGUUCAUACAUUUUCAACGUAUGGUACCUAAAUCCCUCUACAGCUUCCUUCUUUUUCAACGACGAAUACCCUCAUGUAACUAUUCCCUAAGGAAGCUACUUGGACUAAUACGGGAAUAUCUAUGUGAAAAGAGUGACCCACUUCGGAUAGACAAACGAGUCGAACAACUAAAGUACCUGUCGUUAGGACGUUUUCAUGGAAGUCCGUGACUGAUACGCGUAUACAUAUCUCUACACUCCAGACGCCAACUAGACACAGUAGCACUACCUUGAAAUUUUGCUUACCAACGUUUCCUUGGAUCGUCCAUAUAGUUACUUCUGAACCGUUAACAUGGCUACGAAGUUUACGAAUCUUUUAGACCUGCGAGGUGUAAGAACCACUGUUUGUCAAAUACCCUGAUGUGACUACAACAGUACUUGAUGGAUACACCCGGUAUAUACAGUCUACAUUCGAGUUCAGUGUUGGUGUUCACCGAACUCAUAAAACUACAACAAUAUUGUCCGUCAAGUUUCGGUUCGAAAAAAGUACUACUAUUGGCUUGUCCUAACAAACUUCAACUCGGACUAAGACCCUUUGAAGAUUUACGACUAGAAGUCUAACCUUCGGGUUCUAGUUCAGUUGUAGUCGGUUUUGGUUAAGUGUUUCAAAUGGUCCCUCCGUUACAACCAGUAGAAGUGUCUGAUGAAAGACAACGAAGAUCAAGCGUCUAGGAGAUACAACCACUAGUGUAUAUACCUCUGUAUGAGGCGUCGUUCUUUCAAGAUCCAACCGCCUGAUACGACCAUUAUGGACUCGACCUCGUUCUCCACUUCGAAGUUAGUCUUAGUUUCAGAUGAGCUUUCCUCGAAUCUGUGGAAUCUUACCUCGCACUAAGUCAACUUCUGUGCUAGGUAGCGGAACUUACCAGAGAAGUUAAACUUCUAGAAUGUCUCUUACUCUUCCCUUUCAACAAUAGACUCGUACUAUUAGAUGACGUUUUCGACUUCCCAUAGGCGACGGAAGAGGCUCUACGAGUCUACGUUGUAGUGGUCUUCAAAGUGUUCCACACCCCUGUCGAAUACUUCUGACCCAUGGUUUUGAGAGCCAAACGAGUGGUCCAGCUCUCUAAACGUACGGAUAUGACGUCGGUUCAAUGUCUGAAACCCAACAUAAGAGGGUUGUUCAUAAUGGCAGGUUCGCUUCUAAUGUACGGGGUACUCAAGCUACACGAACCGGACAUCUUGAUCAAACACGAGUACACCUUAGCUUCAAGAGGAAACUCCACAUCCGACUUCGUUCUAUACCUGCGUUAAAAUCGUACUAUGACUUAUUGUUUAUAAAUGGUGGAGUGUGUUGUCUUACUCCAGAUGGACCACUUUGAAGUGGGUAAAAUGUACAAAUAUAUGAUAUCAACGACUAUCCUUUAAAAUGUCCAAAGGACGAAACAUGUAUUGUACAAGAUUGUCCCCCGUUUACUUUGGUUACAACUUACAACUAGUAAAGUUGAAAGUUUCAUUUAUUAAAUUAAACCAAUAAUGAGGCGAACCGAUACGAGUAGACUUAAAUUUCACGACAUAUUGUUAACUAUUAUAGGGUUACUCCAGACAUUGGGGAUUACUUAAAACUCCCACUUUAAACUCCCGGUAAACCAAGUUACAAACUUUCCG